Molecule: microRNA, 23 nt
Filed under: Sphenodon punctatus (tuatara)
Lineage: Eukaryota; Metazoa; Chordata; Lepidosauria; Sphenodontia; Sphenodontidae
Description: Spt-Mir-144_5p (mature (co-guide))
Source: RNAcentral
GGAUAUCAUCCUAUACUGUAAGU